RNAcentral lists this long non-coding RNA (855 nucleotides) under Zostera marina. RNAcentral's name for it is "long non-coding RNA (ZMAR_LNC000262)". The record is from RNAcentral. Lineage: Eukaryota; Viridiplantae; Streptophyta; Magnoliopsida; Alismatales; Zosteraceae.
UCUCCCCCCCCCACUCGGUCGGCGUCCAAAUAUUGAAGAUUCUUUCUCUUCCUUCCUAAUUCCUAUCUUGCCUCAAGAAGAAGAGGAUUUCUCGCCGGUCGAGUCUCUUGCUCCGCCGUUGUUUAUUUCUCGGGUAAACAAAACCACAAAGAUAUACAUUUGCAUUUAUUUCCAUUCUAGGUUUGUUUACUUGGUGUAUGAUCUAAACUGUUAUUCUAGGGUUUUCUUUUUGAGAUUUCGUCGUGUUUUAUAGGGGUUUUGGGUCGCAUUAAUUUUUAUCAUCUAAUCUUUCUAUUUCACUGCAGAUUUGUAGAUUAGGGUUUGAUGGAUUGUAUUAAAAAUGUAGCUGAAGAAAAUAUUUCCCCACCUGAAGAAAUCUGAUACUGUUGAAGCAUUACUAUGUACAAAAGAUUGGCUUCCUACUAUUACUACAUUUAGAGUAAGAUUUACUAUAUUCGCUUUUAUUUUUUUUCUUGUAUUAUUUUUCUUUAUUUAAAUGUUUGUAUUAUUUUUCUUCAUUUAAAUAAUUAAAUGUUUGUAUUAUUUUUCUUCAAUACUCAAUAGGUUCCGAUGGAAAACUCCGAGUCGUAGGGGGAAACUAUCGAGACCGAGUUUUGAUCGAAUAGAAUCCAAAAGCUUAAUGCAAGAAAGCCAAGAAUGCAAGAUGCUAGCUAGGAUUGAAAACUUGAAUUUCAUUUAAUUUUCUAUUUUAAUUUGUGUCUUUGUUUGUUGUUGUUAGAGUAUUUAAUUUUCUAUUUGAAUGAUUAUUUGUUUAUUGAAGUGUUGCUUGUUGUUGUUGAUUGCAGGAAUUUAUUUAAAAAAUAUAAGGAUAUUUUUGCAUUUUUUUUAAAAAAU